GUUCCCGGCUGAUGGGAUUCAUCUGGUUUUCCUGGAUCUUCUGUGAAUGCCUUGUUCCACGGACCGGUCGUCGAUGCACUCGAGGUGCACCGCAUUGACGAGCGGCAGUAGCAGGAUGCAAUCGGCGCGGCCGAGCUGGCAGCGAAGCCGGUUCUCGGUGAGCCAUUCACGCCGAAUGAGGGCGGUCAAGAGCCGGCUGCAUACGUUCGAUAUAUUCGCUACGCGCACGAUCAAACUGUGUAACGAUGCCGAGUGUGUCCGACCAUCGCGACUAGAAGCAUAGCGGAAGUUAAGUUGCGUCGUCUAUUGUGACACCUUUUCAUCAACAACUGGCAUGACUAUCGGCGCACGGUCGGUGGCUCUAGCGAAGGGGAGGGUGCGUUCCAAUCGGCUGGCAGGACACAGAUCGGAUCGGUUAGGACAACGAUCGGCAUAGUACGGCUCGCGACCCGCAUGUGGCUAUUUGUUGACUAGUUGCCUCUUCAAGUGCAAAUCUACGAACAUGUUUAGAAGAUUUGGCUCUUUCGGUCGCAACGUUUGCCGAGUCGCUGGGGAUAUUGGAUUGUAAGGAAUGAAUAUACUGUCCGCAGGAACCAGAUGAUGACAUCACUAAGGAGCUAAUGCGCUAAAGCUUAUCAGAAGGAGGCGAGAAUGGUUUGAUGUUUUUGGCACAGCUCCCACGUAUCAUCCAUACCACACCAAAUCAUUAUGGCGCAGCUGUGAAUAUGUACAACGUCAUCCUGCUCGGGUAGGAUGGUGACGGUCUCCCGCUCGGUAUAUCUUGACGGCAGUAUAACGCAAGGCAAGUAUACAUAUAGUUUCAGUACGUUUAAUAAGUGUAAAGAAUGCUAAUAUCUUUGUUUCUUUUUCAAAUUUUCAGAUUCAAAUGAACAAUAUACAAGGUGCACUAAACAUACACUGGACUCUGUUUGGAACGGGUCUAGUAAAAGUAUUUGUUAGUGGUGCGUGCAUAUUAUUAUGUGCACCUAUUUUAUUUUUCCUAUCUUGUUACCGAUCGAACCGACCGAACCCAGUAGAAUAAAAAAUAUGAUUACAUUACAUA
Anopheles coluzzii is the source of this 1063-nucleotide long non-coding RNA. RefSeq lists it as uncharacterized. The record is from RefSeq and is a predicted model, not a curated record. Lineage: Eukaryota; Metazoa; Arthropoda; Insecta; Diptera; Culicidae. The transcript is spliced from 3 exons.